This 300-nucleotide ribosomal RNA is filed under the name Acrocalymma vagum. RNAcentral's name for it is "partial 18S ribosomal RNA". The stretch from base 1 to 245 matches the Rfam family "Group I catalytic intron", at positions 64 to 253 of the family's 253-position model. From Rfam's summary of the family: Group I catalytic introns are large self-splicing ribozymes. They catalyse their own excision from mRNA, tRNA and rRNA precursors in a wide range of organisms. Lineage: Eukaryota; Fungi; Ascomycota; Dothideomycetes; Pleosporales; Acrocalymmaceae. The record is from RNAcentral.
GGAACACCCUAAAGACCUCAACACCAAGCGUCAUGGGAAACCAUGGCGUGGCCGAGCUAAUAGCCCUGGGUAUGGUAACAGCUUGAGGUAUGAAGCCUUCACAAGGAGGCCGAAAUGGGCAAUCCGCAGCCAAGUCCUAACGUGCUCGAAACCGAGUGCCAUGGAUGCUGUUCACAGGCCAAAUGGUAGUGGGUGACUCUUGCGAGUUGCUUAAGAUAUGGUCGGGCCCCUUCAGAAAUGUGGGGGAUAAGCUUACGCUUCUCCAAACCGUUCCGUAGGUGAACCUGCGGAAGGAUCAUU